CGCACUUCAAUAGUUUUUAGGUUGUUUUAAGCUUUAAGUAUGCAUUUUAAAACAUUUUCAUUCCCACCUGCAUAAGUUUUUGUAGUAAAAAUUUAACGUAAAACACUAGUGACUUCGCACUUGACUUACUUUAAAAUGUCUUCAAAAUAAACCAAGAUUCGAGAGAUCCACAUUUCCACGGCCUCAGCCCUGAGGCAGCCUGCCUCCUCAAGCAACAGCUGGGCUUGGUGCUCUUCCCAGAUCCACCACGGUUGCUCCUCACUUCACGAGCAGCACCUCCUCACUAGAUGCCACUGCCCUAAACCUGUGUUAAACCCUACAGCUCCUCCUUCCCCAAAAUCGGCUCUUCCUUCCUCCACUGAAUCCCCAACAGGAUCUAACCCUAGGGCGAUGACUACUGUCG
Molecule: long non-coding RNA, 403 nt
Filed under: Selaginella moellendorffii
Lineage: Eukaryota; Viridiplantae; Streptophyta; Lycopodiopsida; Selaginellales; Selaginellaceae
Description: long non-coding RNA (SMOE_LNC000092)
Source: RNAcentral